AUCCGACUGAAGAGUCCGAAGUAGGAGGAAAUGCGCAUCAAACUGCAU
RNAcentral lists this non-coding RNA (48 nucleotides) under Schistosoma bovis. RNAcentral also lists the same sequence under 1 other name. Lineage: Eukaryota; Metazoa; Platyhelminthes; Trematoda; Strigeidida; Schistosomatidae. The record is from RNAcentral.